RNAcentral lists this long non-coding RNA (427 nucleotides) under Linum usitatissimum (flax). RNAcentral's name for it is "long non-coding RNA (LUSI_LNC001528)". The record is from RNAcentral. Lineage: Eukaryota; Viridiplantae; Streptophyta; Magnoliopsida; Malpighiales; Linaceae.
AUUUCGAUCUCUGAAUCUGAUUUGGAAUAUUAGUUAGCAAAUAGAGGACAUUAGCUGCAUCUUUGGUUUGCAUAGCAGAUUUCUGGCAGUAAGGCGAAGUAUACUCGUUAGAAGUUCUCAUUUCUCUGUGUAAACAAACGUCCAUGCUAGCAUUUUACGGUUUCCUCACUUUCCUGGUGUUGUUGUCUUUGUUCUGUGUUUUGCUUGAAUAUUCUCUCAUGUCGAGAGUUUUCCACGAUCCAAAGACCUGCGAAGAUUGAAUAAGCUUCUGCGUUUGCUUCCUUCGGUAGCUUGGUUUCUUUUUGAAGCUUUUACUGGUUAGAGAUUUCCAAAGGACACUGCUGUUGUGAACUCCUUUGCAUCUUGAAUUCUGCCCUUAAUCGGUCUAAUAUUCCGUUCCCCUGCAUUUCGAUAUCUGAUUUGGAAU